This 252-nucleotide ribosomal RNA is filed under the name uncultured bacterium. RNAcentral describes it as "partial 16S ribosomal RNA". It matches the Rfam family "Bacterial small subunit ribosomal RNA", at positions 524 to 776 of the family's 1533-position model. The record is from RNAcentral.
GACGAACCGAGCGAACGUUGUUCGGAAUCACUGGGCUUAAGGGCGCGUAGGCGGGCGGUCAAGUCAGGGGUGAAAGCCCCCAGCUCAACUGGGGAAGUGCCUCUGAUACUGGCCGUCUCGAGGGGGAUAGGGGCGUGCGGAACUUCCGGUGGAGCGGUGAAAUGUGUUGAUAUCGGAAGGAACACCAGAGGCGAAAGCGGUGCACUGGAGCUGGUCUGACGCUGAGGCACGAAAGCCAGGGGAGCGAACGGG